This is a long non-coding RNA of Melanotaenia boesemani (Boeseman's rainbowfish), 131 nucleotides long. RefSeq lists it as uncharacterized. The transcript has 3 exons. NCBI's taxonomy places the organism in Eukaryota, Metazoa, Chordata, Actinopteri, Atheriniformes, Melanotaeniidae. The record is from RefSeq and is a predicted model, not a curated record.
ACACACCACACACAAUGAGUUGUAACUGACAGGGGAAUGCUGAUGGGAUAUGAAGCAUUUCCAGUAGUUGCAUGCUGUUGGAUGAAUAUUGAAAUAAGAUGCUCUUUUCAGUUCUUACUAUUGUAAAUCUG